RNAcentral lists this ribosomal RNA (253 nucleotides) under uncultured bacterium. RNAcentral describes it as "partial 16S ribosomal RNA". It matches the Rfam family "Bacterial small subunit ribosomal RNA", at positions 524 to 776 of the family's 1533-position model. The record is from RNAcentral.
UACGUAGGUGGCAAGCGUUGUCCGGAUUUACUGGGCGUAAAGAGCGCGCAGGCGGUCGUUCAAGUCGCGUGUGAAAGCCCCCGGCUCAACUGGGGAGGGUCACGCGAUACUGAUCGACUCGAAGGCAGGAGAGGGAAGUGGAAUUCCCGGUGUAGUGGUGAAAUGCGUAGAUAUCGGAAGGAACAUCAGUGGCGAAAGCGGCUUCCUGGACCAGUACCGACGUUCAGGCACGAAAGCGUGGGGAGCAAACAGG